UCCCGUUUCUCGCGGCUUGAGGCAUAUUUACUCGGGAUUUCCAGUCGUUGAGUUUGCAUCACGAUCCUACUCUCUAUCAUAACUCAGACACAUGUUGACAUUUUCGAUGAGGGAACUUCACAAUAGUUAGCAUGCCUAUUAAGGUUUAAAGAAAAUCAAGAUACUUUCCUUAGAGUCUUAAGCGUUGUAAUUAUCGAACUUUGCAACAUUGACAAUAGUUUGAUAUUUGAAGAGAAUACACUUUGAUUUACACAAGGCGUAUAUCCCAUUUUAAAUAAAAUAUGCUAACUCUGAAAUUACAAGUUAAGAAAAUGUUUCAGAUAGAAGUUUUAGUGAUUUCAAAAAUAAUGCAUGAUAAUGCUAUUGGUUUGACUUUGCGUUGGACGCGCUAUGAUGUCUUCAAGAUUUAUUGAUGCAAAAAUUAGUAUCAUCAAUUUGUAUAUGUAUAUAUAGGUCGUCAUAUAUAUGCUAUAUUGAUUUAUUAACAAUCUCUAUAAUCAGUGAUAUUAUUAGUAUAAUAGUAGUAUAUAUAGUUACUGAUGUCAGGCAAGCUACAACUUAGUUAACACCUGAUAAAAUAUUUUUAUUGCAUAUAUAAUAAAUUAAAAAGAGAAUCAAUAUAUAAUUUACAGUGUAAGUAGAUAUAUAUGGCAAAAAUAAUAUAUUUCAAUAUUUAAUGGCAUUGUUAUUAUAACAUUUGCCUAAAAUCCACAAAAUAAAACUAGAAAUCGCUCAUACUAUUGACUUUUUUCAGCUGCACUUUGUUGUUCUAUAUAAUGUCCUAUGGUUGUUGAAAGACUUUGCAUGCCAUUGCUCACAUGACUAGGAGUUUCAGAUACGAAUUUCAUACUUGCUAUGACUCCUUUAUUCCAUGUUGAUUUUGCAGAGUUGCAGAGCUCAUUAGUACUCAGCAUUGGUGGAAGCUGUAUACAAUGAUUUAAUUUAAAUUCUUUUUUAUAACAAUCUUAAUAAAGUAUUAAAGAAGAUGAUAUAAAACACAAAGCAUUAAAUUUAUCAUGUGUAUAAAUAUAAAUAUUUUUAAUAUAAA
Long non-coding RNA from Odontomachus brunneus, 1048 nucleotides. RefSeq lists it as uncharacterized. The record is from RefSeq and is a predicted model, not a curated record. Lineage: Eukaryota; Metazoa; Arthropoda; Insecta; Hymenoptera; Formicidae. The transcript has 3 exons.